This 497-nucleotide ribosomal RNA is filed under the name uncultured bacterium. Its description in RNAcentral is "bacterial SSU rRNA". It matches the Rfam family "Bacterial small subunit ribosomal RNA", at positions 29 to 518 of the family's 1533-position model. The record is from RNAcentral.
AUGAACGCUAGCGACAGGCUUAACACAUGCAAGUCGAGGGGCAGCAUAAAAGUAGCAAUACGUUGGUGGCGACCGGCGCACGGGUGAGUAACGCGUAUGCAACCUACCUAUCAGAGGGGAAUAACCCGGCGAAAGUCGGACUAAUACCGCAUAAAACAGGGGCACCGCAUGGUGAUAUUUGUUAAAGAAAUUCGCUGAUAGAUGGGCAUGCGUUCCAUUAGGUAGUUGGUGAGGUAACGGCUCACCAAGCCGACGAUGGAUAGGGGAACUGAGAGGUUGGUCCCCCACACUGGUACUGAGACACGGACCAGACUCCUACGGGAGGCAGCAGUGAGGAAUAUUGGUCAAUGGGCGGGAGCCUGAACCAGCCAAGUCGCGUGAAGGAAGAAGGAUCUAUGGUUCGUAAACUUCUUUUGCAGGGGAAUAAAGUGCAGGACGUGUCCUGUUUUGUAUGUACCCUGAGAAUAAGGAUCGGCUAACUCCGUGCCAGCCGCCGC